AGACCCGAAACCCGGUGAUCUAGCCAUGGGCAGGUUGAAGGUUGGGUAACACUAACUGGAGGACCGAACCGACUAAUGUUGAAAAAUUAGCGGAUGACCUGUGGCUGGGGGUGAAAGGCCAAUCAAACCGGGAGAUAGCUGGUUCUCCCCGAAAGCUAUUUAGGUAGCGCCUCGUGAAUUCAUCUCCGGGGGUAGAGCACUGUUUCGGCUAGGGGGCCAUCCCGGCUUACCAACCCGAUGCAAACUGCGAAUACCGGAGAAUGUUAUCACGGGAGACACACGGCGGGUGCUAACGUCCGUCGUGAAGAGGGAAACAACCCAGACCGCCAGCUAAGGUCCCAAAGUCAUGGUUAAGUGGGAAACGAUGUGGGAAGGCCCAGACAGCCAGGAUGUUGGCUUAGAAGCAGCCAUCAUUUAAAGAAAGCGUAAUAGCUCACUGGUCGAGUCGGCCUGCGCGGAAGAUGUAACGGGGCUAAACCAUGCACCGAAGCUGCGGCAGCGAACGUAUCACCCAAGACAACUUUACGGAGUUGACGAUUGACGGAGCGAAGCGACGUCAAAGCGUUCAUUAAAGUCGAGUUGGCUUAGGGAUACGUUCGUUGGGUAGGGGAGCGUUCUGUAAGCCUGUGAAGGUGUGUCGUGAGGCAUGCUGGAGGUAUCAGAAGUGCGAAUGCUGACAUAAGUAACGAUAAAGCGGGUGAAAAGCCCGCUCGCCGGAAGACCAAGGGUUCCUGUCCAACGUUAAUCGGGGCAGGGUGAGUCGACCCCUAAGGCGAGGCCGAAAGGCGUAGUCGAUGGGAAACGGGUUAAUAUUCCCGUACUUGGUGUUACUGCGAAGGGGGGACGGAGAAGGCUAUGUUGGCCGGGCGACGGUUGUCCCGGUUUAAGCGUGUAGGUGUGUGUUCCAGGUAAAUCCGGUUCACUUUAACACUGAGGCGUGACGACGAGGCACUACGGUGCUGAAGCAACAAAUGCCCUGCUUCCAGGAAAAGCCUCUAAGCAUCAGGUAACAUCAAAUCGUACCCCAAACCGACACAGGUGGUCAGGUAGAGAAUACCAAGGCGCUUGAGAGAACUCGGGUGAAGGAACUAGGCAAAAUGGUGCCGUAACUUCGGGAGAAGGCACGCUGACACGUAGGUGAAGUGAUUUACUCAUGGAGCUGAAGUCAGUCGAAGAUACCAGCUGGCUGCAACUGUUUAUUAAAAACACAGCACUGUGCAAACACGAAAGUGGACGUAUACGGUGUGACGCCUGCCCGGUGCCGGAAGGUUAAUUGAUGGGGUCAGCGCAAGCGAAGCUCCUGAUCGAAGCCCCGGUAAACGGCGGCCGUAACUAUAACGGUCCUAAGGUAGCGAAAUUCCUUGUCGGGUAAGUUCCGACCUGCACGAAUGGCGUAAUGAUGGCCAGGCUGUCUCCACCCGAGACUCAGUGAAAUUGAACUCGCUGUGAAGAUGCAGUGUACCCGCGGCAAGACGGAAAGACCCCGUGAACCUUUACUAUAGCUUGACACUGAACAUUGAGCCUUGAUGUGUAGGAUAGGUGGGAGGCUUUGAAGUGUGGACGCCAGUCUGCAUGGAGCCGACCUUGAAAUACCACCCUUUAAUGUUUGAUGUUCUAACGUGGACCCGUAAUCCGGGUUGCGGACAGUGUCUGGUGGGUAGUUUGACUGGGGCGGUCUCCUCCUAAAGAGUAACGGAGGAGCACGAAGGUUGGCUAAUCCUGGUCGGACAUCAGGAGGUUAGUGCAAUGGCAUAAGCCAGCUUGACUGCGAGCGUGACGGCGCGAGCAGGUGCGAAAGCAGGUCAUAGUGAUCCGGUGGUUCUGAAUGGAAGGGCCAUCGCUCAACGGAUAAAAGGUACUCCGGGGAUAACAGGCUGAUACCGCCCAAGAGUUCAUAUCGACGGCGGUGUUUGGCACCUCGAUGUCGGCUCAUCACAUCCUGGGGCUGAAGUAGGUCCCAAGGGUAUGGCUGUUCGCCAUUUAAAGUGGUACGCGAGCUGGGUUUAGAACGUCGUGAGACAGUUCGGUCCCUAUCUGCCGUGGGCGCUGGAGAACUGAGGGGGGCUGCUCCUAGUACGAGAGGACCGGAGUGGACGCAUCACUGGUGUUCGGGUUGUCAUGCCAAUGGCACUGCCCGGUAGCUAAAUGCGGAAGAGAUAAGUGCUGAAAGCAUCUAAGCACGAAACUUGCCCCGAGAUGAGUUCUCCCUGAGACUUAGAGUCUCCUGAAGGAACGUUGAAGACGACGACGUUGAUAGG
RNAcentral lists this ribosomal RNA (2258 nucleotides) under Salmonella enterica subsp. enterica serovar Typhimurium. Its description in RNAcentral is "partial 23S ribosomal RNA". It matches the Rfam family "Bacterial large subunit ribosomal RNA", at positions 711 to 2860 of the family's 2925-position model. Lineage: Bacteria; Pseudomonadati; Pseudomonadota; Gammaproteobacteria; Enterobacterales; Enterobacteriaceae. The record is from RNAcentral.